ACCCUACGGGGCGCAGCAGUCGGGAAUAUUGCGCAAUGGAGGAAACUCUGACGCAGUGACGCCGCGUAUAGGAAGAAGGUUUUCGGAUUGUAAACUAUUGUCGAUAGGGAAGAAAAAAGACUGUACCUAUCAAGAAAGCACCGGCUAAAUACGUGCCAGCAGCCGCGGUAAUACGUAGGUGGCGAGCGUUGUCCGGAAUUACUGGGUGUAAAGGGAGUGUAGGCGGGAAAGCAAGUCAGAAGUGAAAACUAUGGGCUUAACCCAUAGCCUGCUUUUGAAACUGUUUUUCU
This 290-nucleotide ribosomal RNA is filed under the name uncultured bacterium. Its description in RNAcentral is "partial 16S ribosomal RNA". It matches the Rfam family "Bacterial small subunit ribosomal RNA", at positions 335 to 642 of the family's 1533-position model. The record is from RNAcentral.